This 316-nucleotide unclassified non-coding RNA is filed under the name air metagenome. RNAcentral describes it as "partial contains small subunit ribosomal RNA, internal transcribed spacer 1, and 5.8S ribosomal RNA". The stretch from base 1 to 46 matches the Rfam family "Eukaryotic small subunit ribosomal RNA", at positions 1786 to 1831 of the family's 1831-position model. The record is from RNAcentral.
AAGUCGUAACAAGGUUUCCGUAGGUGAACCUGCGGAAGGAUCAUUAUUGAAUAAGCUUUAGGUUGUUGCUGGUUCUUUGGGACAUGUGCACACCUAAUGCCAAUCUUUUUAUACCACCUGUGCACCUUUUGUAGACCUGGAUAUCUCUCGAGGAAGCUCGGUAUGAGGACUGCUGUGUUGUAAAGCCAGCUUUUCUUACAUUUCCAGUUCUAUGUCUUUUAUACACACCAUUAGUAUGUCUAUGAAUGUUUUAUUAUCGGACUUGAUUGUCCAAAUAAACCUUAUACAACUUUCAACAACGGAUCUCUUGGCUCUC